CUUUCAUUUCUCCCCCAAUUUCAGACUUUCUUCUUCUCCUUCCCCAUUUCAUCUGUGCGUCCCCUUCUUCCUCCUUUUCAUUUUUUCCUCAACUCCUUCCCCGUUUGCUUUGGAUCACCAGUUUGAAGAUCAACAUUCUGAAGAACUCCAAUUCGAGGAGGAAGAGCUUGAAGAGCAAGGACACUGGAAAUCGCAGAUCCAUAAUUUUUUAAAGGUAUAAAACCUGAGUUUAAUCUAUAGAGAUUAGAGCCUUAAUGUUGAAGUAGUAAAGUAUUGGAGCACUGAUCUGAUGGCAAGCAUGGCAGCAUGGAGUUGCUAGUAUUAUAUAUGGCACUAUGGAGCUACAAAAUAUGUGGUCUUCGACAAAGGCAAGCACAGGAAAGCAUGGAGGAUGAAUUUUUGUAAAUUAUAUGGAAUGUUAGAUGUAAAACAUUUGUAUAUUAUGGCACUAUUUUUCUUUUGAA
This is a long non-coding RNA of Pyrus x bretschneideri (Chinese white pear), 464 nucleotides long. RefSeq lists it as uncharacterized. The transcript has 2 exons. The record is from RefSeq and is a predicted model, not a curated record. Lineage: Eukaryota; Viridiplantae; Streptophyta; Magnoliopsida; Rosales; Rosaceae.